RNAcentral lists this ribosomal RNA (497 nucleotides) under uncultured bacterium. RNAcentral describes it as "partial 16S ribosomal RNA". It matches the Rfam family "Bacterial small subunit ribosomal RNA", at positions 28 to 507 of the family's 1533-position model. The record is from RNAcentral.
GAUGAACGCUGGCGGCGUGCCUAAUACAUGCAAGUCGAGCGAACAGACGAGGAGCUUGCUCCUCUGACGUUAGCGGCGGACGGGUGAGUAACACGUGGAUAACCUACCUAUAAGACUGGGAUAACUUCGGGAAACCGGAGCUAAUACCGGAUAAUAUAUUGAACCGCAUGGUUCAAUAGUGAAAGUCGGUUUUGCUGUCACUUAUAGAUGGAUCCGCGCCGCAUUAGCUAGUUGGUAAGGUAACGGCUUACCAAGGCGACGAUGCGUAGCCGACCUGAGAGAGUGAUCGGCCACACUGGAACUGAGACACGGUCCAGACUCCUACGGGAGGCAGCAGUAGGGAAUCUUCCGCAGUGGGCGAAAGCCUGACGGAGCAACGCCGCGUGAGUGAUGAAGGUCUUCGGAUCGUAAAACUCUGUUAUUAGGGAAGAACAAAUGUGUAAGUAACUAUGCACGUAUUGACGGUACCUAAUCAGAAAGCAACGGCUAACUACGUG